UAGAUGGCGUAACAGGCAACU
RNAcentral lists this microRNA (21 nucleotides) under Macacine gammaherpesvirus 4 (Rhesus lymphocryptovirus). RNAcentral describes it as "rlcv-miR-rL1-34-5p". Its record names the gene rlcv-miR-rL1-34-5p. Lineage: Duplodnaviria; Heunggongvirae; Peploviricota; Herviviricetes; Herpesvirales; Orthoherpesviridae. The record is from miRBase by way of RNAcentral.